UGGGGAAUCUUCCGCAAUGGACGAAAGUCUGACGGAGCAACGCCGCGUGAGUGAAGACGGCCUUCGGGUUGUAAAGCUCUGUGAUUCGGGACGAAAGGCCAUAUGUGAAUAAUAUAUGGAAAUGACGGUACCGAAAAAGCAAGCCACGGCUAACUACGUGCCAGCAGCCGCGGUAAUACGUAGGUGGCAAGCGUUGUCCGGAAUUAUUGGGCGUAAAGCGCGCGCAGGCGGUCACUUAAGUCCAUCUUAGAAGUGCGGGGCUUAACCCCGUGAUGGGAUGGAAACUGGGAGACUGGAGUAUCGGAGAGGAAAGUGGAAUUCCUAGUGUAGCGGUGAAAUGCGUAGAUAUUAGGAGGAACACCGGUGGCGAAAGCGGCUUUUUGGCCUGCAACUGACACUGAGGCGCGAAAGCGUGGGGAGCAAACAGG
RNAcentral lists this ribosomal RNA (428 nucleotides) under Verrucomicrobiota bacterium. RNAcentral's name for it is "Verrucomicrobia bacterium partial 16S ribosomal RNA". It matches the Rfam family "Bacterial small subunit ribosomal RNA", at positions 355 to 776 of the family's 1533-position model. The record is from RNAcentral. Lineage: Bacteria; Pseudomonadati; Verrucomicrobiota.